Molecule: non-coding RNA, 27 nt
Filed under: Rattus norvegicus (Norway rat)
Lineage: Eukaryota; Metazoa; Chordata; Mammalia; Rodentia; Muridae
Source: RNAcentral
UAUAACUCCACUUUCAUGGGAUCUGGU